GGAUGAAGCAGCCCUCUGGGCUGGCGGUGGUCACCUGCAGCACCUUCUGACCGUGGUACAGCAGCACCACCUCCAUACGGACAUCUGUGAACACGUGACAGCCGGCCGGUCAACACCCACGGCGCCGCUGACCUCAGCUCUAACUUCCAGACCUUGAACAGAGCCGCGUCCUCCAUCUGGUUGUAGUCCUUCUUGGCUGCGUGUUUCCAGGGGAUCCUGAACAUGGUCUUGUCCUCGUCCUCCCAGCACAGACCCUCGAAGCUGCCGCUCUCGAUCUGGCGGAGCAGCCACUCCUUCAGGUGCAGCUUGGCUCCUUCCACCAUCUUCACCGCACGCCUGGCUCCGCUGCAGCCAGCCUCAGGACUCUGUGGUGGUCCAUUAGUUCCCACAUGUGUGGCUCACAUUUGAAGCGAUCCAAAGCGACUGUUUCUCAUCAUCCAGUUAGAGACCGCUGGUAUCCAGUGUUCCAAACAGACCCAUUUGGACCAUGUGUUGUGGCGCUGGUUGCCCAACAGCGCGCUGCAGAUGUUGUUCUGCCAUAAAAGCCAGCGCCGCUCUACCUCGGAGCGGGAACUGCUCUGGAAGGACUGAGUAAAUAAACAGAGACGGUGGAGCGACACCGACUGACUGAGGGGAAACUGGGCCGAGCGGAGGUGAGCGCCACCUGUGUUCACACUGUAGAAAUACCAUUCUACACAUGGUAUUUGUUUAUAAUCUGUCUCCUCCAGGAUGACCUUUGACACCAGGUCACAACCUUUGUCUGGACUGAGGACUGAAAUCCGCUGGAUCAGAACCUCCUGAUGGUCCUCGGACCAAAGGACCAGUUUGGUGGUGAAUCCAGACCCUGAGGUGGGUGCCGACUGACUGCGGGGCGUCCCUUGCGCCUGUCUGUACACGCUCGGCUGCUUCCACCCGAUCUCACACACAAAAACACACUCAUGAAUGCAGGCCACACCCACAACAUGAAAGAAGUCUGUUUUUGUUGCAGCAACAUGUAACGUCCUGCCCCCGUGUGACGGAGAAUUUCUCUCUUCGACGUCGACUCCUGCUCUGAUCUUAUCCAUGUUUUGUUACGCCUGGUCGAUAAUGAUGCUGAGGGUACGACAACUGACGGACGGAGACGGAUUAGAGCGGAGAAGAAACUGAAUUUACUCUGUGAUGAUUCGUUGUUGUUGCUGUGAUGACAGCUUUGAAACUGUUAUCACAAAGUCACGUUCAUGUUCAGUAGAUGUUUUAGAAACGGAUUCUUAACAUCAUUAAAUGUACAAUAACUGUUUUUUUUUAUUACGACACAUAUAUAGACCUAUAAAUAUACGACUUUUCACUACUCUACGCUGAUGACACUCUGUUAGUCAACCAUCAGAAUAUUCCAGAUUUCAAACUUUUGUUUGUUUGACCUCAACCUGUAAUUAUUUCACAUCAGUGAAACGAUACUUUUGUUUGAUCGGGUCGUUGACGUCAUGUAUGUAACCU
This is a long non-coding RNA of Cynoglossus semilaevis (tongue sole), 1473 nucleotides long. RefSeq lists it as uncharacterized. The transcript is spliced from 4 exons. NCBI's taxonomy places the organism in Eukaryota, Metazoa, Chordata, Actinopteri, Pleuronectiformes, Cynoglossidae. The record is from RefSeq and is a predicted model, not a curated record.